AGCUCAGUGGUAGAGCACUUGCCUAACAUGCAUGAGGCCCUGAGUUCAAUCCCCAG
This 56-nucleotide transfer RNA is filed under the name Heterocephalus glaber (naked mole-rat). It matches the Rfam family "tRNA", at positions 9 to 63 of the family's 71-position model. From Rfam's summary of the family: Transfer RNA (tRNA) molecules are approximately 80 nucleotides in length. Their secondary structure includes four short double-helical elements and three loops (D, anti-codon, and T loops). Further hydrogen bonds mediate the characteristic L-shaped molecular structure. tRNAs have two regions of fundamental functional importance: the anti-codon, which is responsible for specific mRNA codon recognition, and the 3' end, to which the tRNAs corresponding amino acid is attached (by aminoacyl-tRNA synthetases). tRNAs cope with the degeneracy of the genetic code in two manners: having more than one tRNA (with a specific anti-codon) for a particular amino acid; and 'wobble' base-pairing, i.e. permitting non-standard base-pairing at the 3rd anti-codon position. The record is from Rfam by way of RNAcentral. Lineage: Eukaryota; Metazoa; Chordata; Mammalia; Rodentia; Bathyergidae.